CGUGAGCGAUGAAGCCCUUCGGGGUGUAAAGCUCUUUCGGCAGGAACGAUAAUGACGGUACCUGGAGAAGAAGCUGCGGCUAACUACGUGC
Molecule: ribosomal RNA, 91 nt
Filed under: uncultured bacterium
Lineage: Bacteria
Description: partial 16S ribosomal RNA
Rfam family: Bacterial small subunit ribosomal RNA
Source: RNAcentral